ACACGUCCUAGGCUGGCGAAGCGGGUCAAGGACCAUGGGCCCCGAACGGGAGGCUGCUGACACUUGUCAGGGAGGAAGAGGGUAACUGGUGACUGUCAGAGGCAGAGCGGAGGUUUAUUCUUGGAAGCAGCCCCCCGCUGCUGACUUUACUUCUCUUCUUGGCUGUGCCUAAGAGGAUUGCUGGGCCAGAGUUCCCUGUUAUCUGUUUUAUGGUGAGGAAGGACACACAGUUCUGCUUUGCAAAAGAACAUUGAACUUGUCUGAAAUGCCCUUGUUUCAACUCUUAGUCGUUACAGCAGGAAAUGUGAUCACAGAUCUUCACCCUGGAAACAAAGAGGGAUGAAUCUUUGGUUCUUAAAUA
RNAcentral lists this long non-coding RNA (361 nucleotides) under Felis catus (domestic cat). RNAcentral describes it as "lncRNA (ENSFCAG00000049948.1)". The record is from RNAcentral. Lineage: Eukaryota; Metazoa; Chordata; Mammalia; Carnivora; Felidae.